This 239-nucleotide ribosomal RNA is filed under the name uncultured Thermovirga sp. Its description in RNAcentral is "partial 16S ribosomal RNA". It matches the Rfam family "Bacterial small subunit ribosomal RNA", at positions 1144 to 1382 of the family's 1533-position model. Lineage: Bacteria; Thermotogati; Synergistota; Synergistia; Synergistales; Thermovirgaceae. The record is from RNAcentral.
AUGGACUGCCGGCGACAAGGCCGGAGGAAGGUGGGGCGACGUCAAGUCAUCAUGGCCCUUAUGUCCAGGGCGACACACGUGCUACAAUGGCCGGCACAGCGGGAAGCAAGGGGCGACUCUGAGCGGAUCCCUUAAAGCCGGUCCCAGUUCGGAUUGCAGUCUGCAACUCGACUGCAUGAAGUUGGAAUCGCUAGUAAUCGUGGAUCAGCCAAGCCGCGGUGAAUACGUUCCCGGGCCUU